GCACUUUAAGCAGUGAAGAAGACCCCGUGGUUAAUACCCACGGACGAUGACAUUAGCUGCAGAAUAAGCACCGGCUAACUCUGUGCCAGCAGCCGCGGUAAUACAGAGGGUGCAAGCGUUAAUCGGAAUUACUGGGCGUAAAGAGAGCGUAGGUGGCUCUAUAAGUCAGAUGUGAAAUCCCCGGGCUCAACCUGGGAACUGCAUCUGAAACUGUAGAGCUAGAGUAUGUGAGAGGAAGGUAGAAUUCCAGGUGUAGCGGUGAAAUGCGUAGAGAUCUGGAGGAAUACCGAUGGCGAAGGCAGCCUUCUGGCAUAAUACUGACACUGAGGCUCGAAAGCGUGGGUAGCAAACAGGAUUAGAUACCCUGGUAGUCCACGCCGUAAACGAUGUCUACUAGUCGUUGG
RNAcentral lists this ribosomal RNA (404 nucleotides) under uncultured bacterium. RNAcentral describes it as "bacterial SSU rRNA". It matches the Rfam family "Bacterial small subunit ribosomal RNA", at positions 430 to 826 of the family's 1533-position model. The record is from RNAcentral.